GAUGAACGCUGGCGGCGUGCCUAAUACAUGCAAGUCGAGCGAACAGACGAGGAGCUUGCUCCUCUGACGUUAGCGGCGGACGGGUGAGUAACACGUGGAUAACCUACCUAUAAGACUGGGAUAACUUCGGGAAACCGGAGCUAAUACCGGAUAAUAUAUUGAACCGCAUGGUUCAAUAGUGAAAGACGGUUUUGCUGUCACUUAUAGAUGGAUCCGCGCCGCAUUAGCUAGUUGGUAAGGUAACGGCUUACCAAGGCAACGAUGCGUAGCCGACCUGAGAGGGUGACCGGCCCACCUGGACUUGAGCCACGGCCCAGACCCCCAGGGGGGGAAGCAGGAGGGAAUCUUCCGAAAUGGGGGAAACCCUGACGGAGAAACGCCGGGGGGGUGAUGAAGGUUUCCGGAUUGUAAAACUUUUUUAUUGGGGAAAAACAAAUGUGUAAGUAACUAUGCCCGUCUUGACGGUACCUAAUAAGAAAGCCACGGCUAACUACGG
Molecule: ribosomal RNA, 496 nt
Filed under: uncultured bacterium
Lineage: Bacteria
Description: partial 16S ribosomal RNA
Rfam family: Bacterial small subunit ribosomal RNA
Source: RNAcentral